GAUGAACGCUGGCGGCGUGCCUAAUACAUGCAAGUCGAGCGAACAGAUGAGGAGCUUGCUCCUCUGACGUUAGCGGCGGACGGGUGAGUAACACGUGGAUAACCUACCUAUAAGACUGGGAUAACUUCGGGAAACCGGAGCUAAUACCGGAUAAUAUAUUGAACCGCAUGGUUCAAUAGCGAAAGACGGUUUUGCUGUCACUUAUAGAUGGAUCCGCGCCGCAUUAGCUAGUUGGUAAGGUAACGGCUUACCAAGGCAACGAUGCGUAGCCGACCUGAGAGGGUGAUCGGCCACACUGGAACUGAGACACGGUCCAGACUCCUACGGGAGGCAGCAGUAGGGAAUCUUCCGCAAUGGGCGAAAGCUUGACGGAGCAACGCCGCGUGAGUGAUGAAGGUCUUCGGAUCGUAAAACUCUGUUAUUAGGGAAGAACAAAUGUGUAAGUAACUAUGCACGUCUUGACGGUACCUAAUCAGAAAGCCACGGCUAACUACGUG
Molecule: ribosomal RNA, 497 nt
Filed under: uncultured bacterium
Lineage: Bacteria
Description: partial 16S ribosomal RNA
Rfam family: Bacterial small subunit ribosomal RNA
Source: RNAcentral